This 450-nucleotide ribosomal RNA is filed under the name uncultured bacterium. Its description in RNAcentral is "bacterial SSU rRNA". It matches the Rfam family "Bacterial small subunit ribosomal RNA", at positions 29 to 506 of the family's 1533-position model. The record is from RNAcentral.
ACGAACGCUGGCGGCGUGCUUAACACAUGCAAGUCGAACGGGGGUAGCAAUACCCUAGUGGCGGACGGGUGAGUAACGCGUAGGUAAUCUGCCCAUCGAUGGGGGACACCCAGCCGAAAGGCUGGCUAAUACCGCAUACGCUGGACGGCCGAGAGGCGGUCCAGGAAAGAUUCAUUGUCGAUGGAUGAGCCUGCGUCCGAUUAGCUAGUUGGUGGGGUAAUGGCUCACCAAGGCUCCGAUCGGUAGCUGGUCUGAGAGGACGAUCAGUCACACUGGAACUGAGACACGGUCCAGACUCCUACGGGAGGCAGCAGUGGGGAAUUUUCCGCAAUGGGCGCAAGCCUGACGGAGCAACGCCGCGUGGAUGAAGAAGGCUUUCGGGUCGUAAAAUCCUUUCAGCAGGGACGAGUAGAAGACGGUACCUGCAGAAGAAGCAUCGGCUAACUACGU